Mesocricetus auratus (golden hamster) is the source of this 410-nucleotide long non-coding RNA. RefSeq lists it as uncharacterized. The record is from RefSeq and is a predicted model, not a curated record. The transcript has 4 exons. NCBI's taxonomy places the organism in Eukaryota, Metazoa, Chordata, Mammalia, Rodentia, Cricetidae.
ACCAAUUACUUCCUGAGAUGAUGAAGACACCACUGCCAUGAGUUUCACCCCAAAGAGUUACCUAUACUCAUCCACCAAACCAGGAGUACGAAGUUUAGCCAAUUCUGUGCCAUUUCAUCCAAACCUAAGUCCCCGAGCGAUGGGACAUCGUGACUCUUGACAGUUCAGUGCCUGUGACUGGGUGUGGGCAGAGAGCAGAUGGUGACAAUGCCAUACUGACUGAGUGUCUGUCUGUGGCAUGGACCUGUGAGGACUCAGUGAGAGAGGAGAAUGAUUCAGGUUAUCCUGAGACAUCUGUCUACUCUGCAAGUCUGGGAAUUAUGGCAGAACUGAUGCUACAGGAGUUUUGAGAUGGAAAUUAUUCAGGGUUCUGGCCAGUGGCAUAUAAACACAGCCUCCUCUAAGAACAG